AUUGAACGCUGGCGGCAGGCCUAACACAUGCAAGUCGAGCGGAUGAAGGGAGCUUGCUCCUGGAUUCCGCGGCGGACGGGUGAGUAAUGCCUAGGAAUCUGCCUGGUAGUGGGGGAUAACGUCCGGAAACGGGCGCUAAUACCGCAUACGUCCUGAGGGAGAAAGUGGGGGAUCUUCGGACCUCACGCUAUCAGAUGAGCCUAGGUCGGAUUAGCUAGCUGGUUGGUUAAGUGCUUACAAAGGCGGGCAUCCGUAGCUGGUCUGACUGGAUGAUCGGCGACAUUGGAGCGGAGCCAGGGUCCAGGGGACUACGGGAGGGAGCAGUCGGGAAUGUUGGGCAAUGGGCGAGAGCCUGACCCAGCCAUGCCGCGUGUGAGAAGGAGGCCUUGGGAGCGGAAAGCACUCUUAGUUGGGAGGAAGCGCAGUAGGCUGAGACCUUGCGGUAUUGACGGUAACAACAAAAUAAGCACCGGCUAACUACGUG
RNAcentral lists this ribosomal RNA (484 nucleotides) under uncultured bacterium. Its description in RNAcentral is "partial 16S ribosomal RNA". It matches the Rfam family "Bacterial small subunit ribosomal RNA", at positions 29 to 507 of the family's 1533-position model. The record is from RNAcentral.